RNAcentral lists this ribosomal RNA (258 nucleotides) under uncultured bacterium. RNAcentral describes it as "partial 16S ribosomal RNA". It matches the Rfam family "Bacterial small subunit ribosomal RNA", at positions 99 to 353 of the family's 1533-position model. The record is from RNAcentral.
CGGACGGGUGAGUAACGCGUGGGUAACCUGCCCUGUACAGGGGGAGUAACAAUCAGAAAUGACUGCUAAUACCGCAUAAGACCACAGCACCGCAUGGUGCAGGGGUAAAAACUACCGGUGGUACAGGAUGGACCCGCGUCUGAUUAGCUGGUUGGUGAGGUAACGGCUCACCAAGGCGACGAUCAGUAGCCGGCUUGAGAGAGUGAACGGCCACAUUGGGACUGAGACACGGCCCAAACUCCUACGGGAGGCAGCAUG